GGGAGCUUGCUCCCAUUUCUCAGCGGCGGACGGGUGAGUAACACGUGGGCAACCUGCCCUACAGACUGGGAUAACUCCGGGAAACCGGAGCUAAUACCGGGUAAUACGUAGCAUCGCAUGAUGCAACGUUGAAAGUUGGCCUUUGGCUAACACUGUAGGAUGGGCCCGCGGCGCAUUAGCUAGUUGGUAAGGUAACGGCUUACCAAGGCCACGAUGCGUAGCCGACCUGAGAGGGUGAUCGGCCACACUGGGACUGAGACACGGCCCAGACUCCUACGGGAGGCAGCAGUAGGGAAUCUUCCGCAAUGGACGAAAGUCUGACGGAGCAACGCCGCGUGAGUGACGAAGGCCUUCGGGUCGUAAAGCUCUGUUGUUAGGGAAGAACAAGUACCGUUCGAAUAGGGCGGUACCUUGACGGUACCUAACCAGAAAGCCACGGCUAACUACGUGCCAGCAGCCGCGGUAAUACGUAGGUGGCAAGCGUUGUCCGGAAUUAUUGGGCGUAAAGCGCGCGCAGGCGGUCUCUUAAGUCUGAUGUGAAAGCCCACGGCUCAACCGUGGAGGGCCAUUGGAAACUGGGGGACUUGAGUGCAGAAGAGGAGAGUGGAAUUCCACGUGUAGCGGUGAAAUGCGUAGAUAUGUGGAGGAACACCAGUGGCGAAGGCGGCUCUCUGGUCUGUAACUGACGCUGAGGCGCGAAAGCGUGGGGAGCGAACAGGAUUAGAUACCCUGGUAGUCCACGCCGUAAACGAUGAGUGCUAGUGUGUUGGGGGGUUCCACCCUCAGUUGCUGAAGUUAACACAUUAAGCACUCCGCCUGGGGAGUACGACCGCAAGGUUGAAACUCAAAGGAAUUGACGGGGGCCCGCACAAGCAGUGGAGCAUGUGGUUUAAUUCGAAGCAACGCGAAGAACCUUACCAGGUCUUGACAUCCUCUGCCACUCCUAGAGAUAGGACGUUCCCCUUC
This 966-nucleotide ribosomal RNA is filed under the name Bacillus sp. (in: firmicutes). RNAcentral describes it as "bacterial SSU rRNA". It matches the Rfam family "Bacterial small subunit ribosomal RNA", at positions 74 to 1022 of the family's 1533-position model. Lineage: Bacteria; Bacillati; Bacillota; Bacilli; Caryophanales; Bacillaceae. The record is from RNAcentral.